Molecule: unclassified non-coding RNA, 237 nt
Filed under: plant metagenome
Description: partial contains small subunit ribosomal RNA, internal transcribed spacer 1, and 5.8S ribosomal RNA
Source: RNAcentral
GCUCCGUUGGUGAGCCAGCGGAGGGAUCAUUAAAGAGUUCUAUAACUCCCAAACCCAUGUGAACAUACCUUACGUUGCCUCGGCAGGUCGUGCCUACCCCGCAGCGCCCUACCCUGUAGGACCUACCCGAUAGACGCGGGUAAGCCUGCCGGCGGCCCACGAAACUCUGUUUAGUAUUGAAUUCUGAACCUAUAACCAAAUAAGUUAAAACUUUCAACAACGGAUCUCUUGGUUCUG